GAAAGUAAACAAGGGCGCAUGGAGGAUGCCUAGGCUCUCGGAGGCGAAGAAGGACGUGAUAAGCUGCGAAAAGUUACGGUAAGGCGCAAAUAGCCCUAGACCCGUAAAUAUCCGAAUGGGGCAACCCGGCCAGCAAUGGCCAUACCGCCAAGCGGUAAGCCAACGCGGGGAACUGAAACAUCUAAGUACCCGCAGGAAAAGAAAAUAACAAUGAUUCCGCCAGUAGUGGCGAGCGAACGCGGAACAGCCCAAACCACCCGUGUUACGGCACGAGUGGGGUAGAAGGAUCCACGCUACGGCAAGAAAUAAGUUAGCAGAAUACGAUGGAAAUCGUAGCCAGAGACGGUGACAGCCCGGUACGCGAAAACGGACAGAAGCCCAGUGGACACCUGAGUAACCCAGGACACGAGAAAUCCGGGGCGAAUCAGCGGGGCCCAUCCCGUAAGGCUAAAUACUCCCGAGAGACCGAUAGCGAACCAGUACUGUGAAGGAAAGGUGAAAAGAACCUCGAACAGAGGAGUGAAACAGACCCUGAAACCAUGCGCCUACAAGCGGUCGGAGCAUGUUAAAAUGUGACGGCGUGCCUUUUGCAUAAUGAACCUACGAGUUACUCUCGCUGGCAAGGUUAAGCGAUUCAGUCGCGCAGCCGAAGCGAAAGCAAGUCCGAACAAGGCGUACAGUCAGCGGGAGUAGACGCGAAACCAAGUGAUCUACCCUUGGUCAGGUUGAAGGUUGGGUAACACCAACUGGAGGACCGCACCGAUAAGCGUUGAAAAGCUUACGGAUGAACUGAGGGUAGGAGUGAAAGGCCAAUCAAACUUGGAGAUAGCUCGUACUCCCCGAAAUGCAUUUAGGUGCAGCCUCGAAGUAAAGUGAUAGAGGUAGAGCGACUGAUAAGAUGCGAGGGCUUCACCGCCUAUCAAGUCUUGACAAACUCCGAAUACUAUCACUUGAUCUUCGGGAGUGAGGGCAUGGGUGCUAAGGUCCAUGUCCGAAAGAGGAACAACUCAGACCACCAGCUAAGGUCCCGAAAUAAGGGCUAAGUUGAAUAAACGAAGUAAAACUGCAAAGACAGCUAGGAUGUUGGCUUGGAAGCAGCCAUUCAUUUAAAGAGUGCGUAACAGCUCACUAGUCGAGGAGUUUUGCAUGGAUAAUAAUCGGGCAUAAGCCCUUUACCGAAGCUGUGGAUGUCGUAAGACAUGGUAGGGGAGCAUUCCGGCGGCGACGAAGGCCGUCCUCGAGGACGACUGGAGCUUUCGGAAAAGCAAAUGUAGGUAUAAGUAACGAUAAAGGGGGCGUGAAACCCCCUCGCCAUAAGACUAAGGAUUCCUGAUCAACGCUAAUCGGAUCAGGGUAAGUCGGGCCCUAAGGCGCAGCCGAACGGCGUAGCCGAUGGAAGAAACGGUAAAGAUUCCGUUACUGGAUAUAGGAGCGAUGUGGAGACGGAGAAGUGACACACCCGCCUGCCGACGGAAGCGCAGGUUAAAGGAAGUAGGUAAACGCCGGGUAGGCAAAUCCGCCUGGCGUGCCGAAGCUGACAGUAUCGAGAGCCCCCGGGCAAUCGAAUAGCGGUGGUAAUCAGGCUCCCAAGAAAAUCCGCUAAGCAUAUUCUAUAUCCACCCGUACCCCAAACGGACACACGUAGUCGGGUAGAAUAUACCAAGGCGCUCGAAAGACUCACGGUUAAGGAACUAGGCAAAUUGACCCUGUAACCUCGGGAAAAAGGGUCCCCAGUAAGAUGGGGCGCAGAGAAUAGGUCCAGGCAACUGUUUAACAAAAACACAGGGCUGUGCAAAAUUUCAAGAUGAAGUAUACAGCCUGACACCUGCCCGGUGCCGGAAGGUUAAGAGGAGAGCUAAUCGCAAGAGAAGGCUUGAAUUGAAGCCCCGGUAAACGGCGGCCGUAACUAUAACGGUCCUAAGGUAGCGAAAUUCCUUGUCGGGUAAGUUC
Molecule: ribosomal RNA, 1950 nt
Filed under: human gut metagenome
Description: bacterial LSU rRNA
Rfam family: Bacterial large subunit ribosomal RNA
Source: RNAcentral